CCUACGGGAGGCAGCAGUGAGGAAUAUUGGUCAAUGGGCGGAAGCCUGAACCAGCCAAGUCGCGUGAGGGAAUAAGGCCCUACGGGUCGUAAACCUCUUUUGCCGGGGAGCAAGGGCGGGGACGUGUCCCGGCCCGGAGAGUACCCGGAGAAAAAGCAUCGGCUAACUCCGUGCCAGCAGCCGCGGUAAUACGGAGGAUGCGAGCGUUGUCCGGAUUUAUUGGGCGUAAAGCGAGUGCAGGCGGUUCAAUAAGUCUGCUGUGAAAGCCUUCGGCUCAACCGGAGAAUUGCAUCAGAAACUGUUUG
RNAcentral lists this ribosomal RNA (305 nucleotides) under uncultured bacterium. Its description in RNAcentral is "bacterial SSU rRNA". It matches the Rfam family "Bacterial small subunit ribosomal RNA", at positions 338 to 639 of the family's 1533-position model. The record is from RNAcentral.